UGAGGAACAUGACCUUCGGCGGGGGAUAGCCGGCCCAACGGCCGGGUAAUACCGCGUACGACCUUUCGGGGACAUCCCUGGAUGGUGAAAGCAGCAAUGCGCCGAUGGAGUGCCUCGCGGCCUAUCAGCUAGUUGGUGAGGUAACGGCUCACCAAGGCAACGAUGCGUAGCCGACCUGAGAGGGUGAUCGGCCACAUUGGAACUGAGACACGGUCCAGACUCCUACAGGAGG
This 232-nucleotide ribosomal RNA is filed under the name uncultured bacterium. RNAcentral describes it as "partial 16S ribosomal RNA". It matches the Rfam family "Bacterial small subunit ribosomal RNA", at positions 118 to 348 of the family's 1533-position model. The record is from RNAcentral.